AAUCCCCUAAAGAAGAGACGCACCCUGGAACAAAAAGGGAUACAAGGUCUAACUUGUUGCUGAUGUUUCGAUUGGCUGAUCAUGGCAUCCGAUAAAAAAUAAAAGAUCUUGUUCUAGAGCCCAUGGGACCCUUCUCCCCGAUUUUAAUUCCUCGCAGCCACAAAUGCUCUUUGGACAGCUGUGGCAUGCGAGAUGGGGACUCCGCUAGGCGGCGGUGGGCAAUCAGAUCCAGCGCAGCCCUCAUCUAGGGAAGAGAAGAUCACAAACACCAGAAUAACGCCCAGUCCCGAGAGCCCUGCAAGAGAGACUCCAUCCUGAUGGAAUGACCCAGAAGGCUUCGCAGGGCCUGAGGCAUUUAAGAGGGUCCACCUCUUAAUGGCUGUGGUUUUGUUGGGCUUCCUGCUUCCCAAGUUUCAGAAAUUGUUUGUCCACCUCCGCUGUAGGAGAGCGAGCUACUGCGUUUAAAAGCCUUCGUCCUCUUCGGGAGGCUGGUAAAGGUGGUCAGGAUUUCCAAGAAGCAUUUCUUCAAAGAGGAAGUGAAGAAAGCCUGGGUCCCCCUCAUGCUGCACUGCCAGGAUCCCUGCUCCAAUGCAGCCCAGGAAUCAUUAUGAAGCAGAUGUCUGCACGUUACCUGAAAAAGCUGGACUUUCCUACAUUACGGAAUUAUUCCUGACUGUAAGGUGAUGUCGCCCCAGAGCCAAGACAGUGGAACAAAGGGCAACUUCACUCCCGCUUCCCCCGAGUGUGUGUACGUCCGGCAGCUCCUCUCGGCCCAGAGGAUCUGGAGCCCCCUUUGUGUCUUCAUCGCAUUUCAGUUCCACAGUUCCACCCAUGCGGAUGGGCCUGCUGGACCAGGAUGGGGAGGGACCCAGCAAGGCCUGGAGCAGAGCCCAGCAGAGGGUCAAGAAGGAGGAAUUAUCUCCAAGCCCAAGAAACAAGCAGGCACCACCCUGGGCACCAUGGGCGGAGGUGCUGCUGAGCAGUCCCGGAAAUCAACCUGCACCAGAGGCUUCUGGGAAGCGUGCUCUCACACUGUUUGGCGGCUCCCGUGGAAUAGACAGUGAAGUUAUUUCCUGCCAAGUGAUGAAGAUCGUUGCUGCCGGAAGACUUGAGUCCCACUGACGCAGUUGAAAGGGAUGUGCCCUUCGGUACAGGUCCUGGGGGAAGCCAUACAAUUGUAAAAUCAGGUCUCUGAUCAAUUCCCUUAAUGCCCCUGCGAAACAUUUCCAGAUGAUUUAUAGACCCAAACUCAGAAAGCAAAAAUUUAAGACAACAUAGUAUUGUCUUAAACCUACCCUAGGUUUUCCUUUAAAAGUAAUAGAAGCCAGCAAAAAUAAAGCAUCAACUUUUCUAUGUUAAAAUAUAUCUUCCGUACGAUAAAAUAUCGUAAAGUUAAACAAGUCGCAGAUGGAAGAAGUUACUUGCAAUUUAUUUAAAACUAGAUUGAUUCAUAUAAUUGAAUUGGCAUACAGAAUAUGCCCACAUCAGUAAUACAGCAAAUUAAAAAGCAGUGUCAUGAGAGAGUGCUUGAAAAGCCAGUCCCCCCAGGAAGGCCUGCGAACUGCAAUGCUGUGCAUUUCACACCCACCGCAGUGGCGCUGGCUAGUGGCAGCGGUGUGGGGAAAUGGGAUCUUUUAUUAUUGCUGGAUGGAGUGCAAAUGGGAUUAGGCAUUUGGGAGAGGACUUUGGCAAUAAUUAUGGAAGUUGAAGACAUGAC
Molecule: long non-coding RNA, 1717 nt
Filed under: Monodon monoceros (narwhal)
Lineage: Eukaryota; Metazoa; Chordata; Mammalia; Artiodactyla; Monodontidae
Description: lncRNA (ENSMMNG00015008909.1)
Source: RNAcentral